CUUAACAAAUGAUUAAUAUUCAACUCCAUACACCUUGCAUUCUUGACAAAAUGAUAAGAAUACAACAAUAUACACAAGUAUAAUCUGGUGAACGUCAACAUCAACUAUUUCCAUAAAUAUAAUCUAUUUCCAGUAACAGAUCAAAAGGAUGCUCUCAGAGCCUUUACUCAGUCUUUAGGCAUUCUCUUUUGUCCAUUUAGCAGUAUCAUCUCUUUAUAGGUUAACGGGGAUCCUCAAUCCAUCAUGUGCAAGUUGAACUGGUAUACCUUCUCUUCUAGACCAUUCCACAAGGAAUUCAUUAUCUUUGUGGUGGUCAAAUUCAUGAGUCAUUCCAAUUAGUAGAGCCCUCUUUGGGCAUAGCAUCUUCAACGCCCCGAGAGUCUGACUAAGGCAAAGAUGAACAUUGUGGGAACCGUUCUUAUAGAGAGUGUCCAAAAUAAGCAGAUCUAGUUGUUGACCAUUAUCUUUCGAAAUGUAGGAUACAGUAGUUGCAAGAAAGCGUGAAACAUCAGAUAUAUAUGCAACUCUGAAUUUUUUACCAAAAAGAAACCCCAAGCACACAUAAUCUUCGCCAUGCAUUACUGGCAACGGAACAAAUUCUAGUCCUGAUGUAACAAAGGGCUUUUCACAAUCAUUUUCAAUGAUCUGCCAAUCAAGUUGUGACACGCGUCUAAUUUCCUGGCCUUCCUUAAGUUUCUUCUGGACUAAGUAAGGGAAUUUCUGAACAAUGCUAUCCAUUGAAUAUUGAGUCAGGUACACUGGUGUCGGAUCAAUGUCAUUUGUUGGGCUAAAUGGUUGCACUGCACGGAUAUCAUCCAAGCCAAGAGUUGCAUCAGCAUGCUCAUGAGUCAAAACAAUAGAAUCAACGUGAGGAAUUCUAUAAUGAGUGAACCAACGAAGUACUUGCUCCCGAAACGUCUUCCCAACAUCAAUUAAUAUGUACUUGUGUUCACCAUUUUCCUUACAAUAAUCAAUAAGUAGAGAUGUAUUACACCUGUAAUUAGGGUUUUCUACAGGUGGCAUGGUAAGGGACUGAGAACAGACAGUACAUGGAGGAUCAGAGGGGCGGAUCAGGCACAAUGCAUUGGGAACGGCACUUGAACAACCGGUGCCGAGGAAGAUCAACGCUGAUUGCGGCAGCGCACUGCCGUUCUCGACGGCGGCCAUUUCUAUCGGAGAGGAGAUAUGCUUCGUGUUAUUCGAAUGAGGAG
RNAcentral lists this unclassified non-coding RNA (1211 nucleotides) under Hevea brasiliensis (rubber tree). The record is from RNAcentral. Lineage: Eukaryota; Viridiplantae; Streptophyta; Magnoliopsida; Malpighiales; Euphorbiaceae.